Molecule: transfer RNA, 65 nt
Filed under: Cheirotonus gestroi
Lineage: Eukaryota; Metazoa; Arthropoda; Insecta; Coleoptera; Scarabaeidae
Also listed under: 1 other name
Description: tRNA-Tyr
Source: RNAcentral
AGUAAGAUGGCCGAGAUUUAGGCGGUAAAUUGUAAAUUUAUUUACGGGUUUAUACCCUCUUAUUA